ACAUCAAGACUAGGCAUACACUGCUCAUCACUCCAGCAGUGUAUGCUAGUCUUGACAUCU
Molecule: microRNA precursor, 60 nt
Filed under: Pteropus alecto (black flying fox)
Lineage: Eukaryota; Metazoa; Chordata; Mammalia; Chiroptera; Pteropodidae
Description: microRNA pal-mir-10000 precursor
Source: miRBase by way of RNAcentral